RNAcentral lists this long non-coding RNA (6412 nucleotides) under Triticum aestivum (bread wheat). RNAcentral's name for it is "long non-coding RNA (TAES_LNC005024)". Lineage: Eukaryota; Viridiplantae; Streptophyta; Magnoliopsida; Poales; Poaceae. The record is from RNAcentral.
GAAUACAUUCUGUUCUUAAUAGUUGUUGCUAGUGCAUGCCUACGUACACAUCAAGCAUAGCAUUUUGCAUGUCUGAUAUCACUGGACAUAGGGAUCGCACGCUAUGUGAUACUACAUUGCUUAAGCACUGACAACAUUAUGUACAGGCUGUAAUCAUGUCCGACUCAGGCAGUUGUGAUGUCGCGGCUCAACAAGUAUCACCACAAGACGCUGAACACUUGUCCGGUGCCAAUGAAGGACAGGCGCUACCAGCCCCCACAUCCCGAAUUUCAGUUAAGAGAGCAGGACUUCACACCGGCAGGAUGAAGUAUUCUCCACUAUUGGUUUUGCCUGCAACCAUUUCAUACUACCAACUUUCAGCAAAACAAGUGCAGACAAUCUAAAAAUGAUAUGCAUAUUGUAAAAAGUUUCAACAAACGGAAGCAUACCGCACAACCACAUCCUAUCUCCUGCAUGCAUUUUGUCCGAUUGACAUUUAGCCUACUCUUCCCACAUCGAAUUCCAAAUCCUUUCUCUCAUGAAUAUAGAUUGUAGAAAUCGUAGGCCUCGCCUAGUGUAUCAAAAGUGACCCCUAAUUUCGGUAACAAUGACAUUCUCCCCAGGGGCCUCGGCAAAGGCGCGGACUGAUUUCUCCAAUGUUGUGAUCCUACCUGGGCAUGGGGCACGACCUGGCAUAGCAACUCCGAUCCUGACUCUGAAAUGCAAACACGCAAAUUAUGGUCAGUUUCAACAACGACUUGCUGCCAGUCAUCCUCUUUCCCACACAAAUAUUCAGAUGUCAUUUCUGCAUUCUGACUUUGCUCAUUCUAAUGUUUCCAAUUUCUGUCACAGACUACCCCUCCUGCACUUUGCACACAAUGCAAUCAUGGCAACCACAGAUAUCUUUCCCACAAUUUUAUCAAUUUUACUUCUGUCCUCAUAGUACAACAAAUGACAGAGAUACAUUCAGAAUUAGGUUUCCUUAUGUUCCUAAUAAUUUGUAUGCUUUGAAGUUCAUACCUUCGUGUCCACCCAGGCGUCUUUGAAUCAAUCUGCUCCAUGGAGUUUUCUGAAGCCUCUGGCUUAUCUCCACUCCCUGCUUAUCCUACCGCCGACGCUGGACAGAUCUGCGCCCCGCCACUUGAAGCACUCGCAGCUGCCACUCCAGCGCCGGGCGGCGAUCUAACAGGGUGAUGCAGCGGUUCCAUUGGUAAAUCGCUGUCAGUCACCUCUUCAAUCGGAGUCCUACUGCACGCACACACACAGCGAGCGCUCAAGAUUUAGAUCCCCCACUUUAGCAUGUUAGAGAAUAUGUUUCCGUAGCAUCUCAAACUUCUUUCCUUCUCUAACUCAAACUCCUUGUAAUCUUUCUUGUACUCCAAGCUUGGCUUCGGCCGCAUCAAUAUAAACAGAACCGUGGCUCCCCUCGAGGGAGUAGGGAACGCUCAUUAUCUUUCAUGGUAAUCAGAGCCACCUCUUCUCCUACAUCUAGCCACAAAUCAAAACCCUAGAACCACAUAUCAUCGUCUCCAUGGCUUCUUCGUCCGGCGUCGGCCUCAACCUCGGAUCGCCGCCAUCUGAGAAGCUAGCAAGAGGAAACUUCAUCCUCUGGAAGACCCAGGUACUCCCAGCCCUGCGAGGUGCGCAGGUAACCGGGCUCCUGGACAACUCUGACGCCGCUCCACCCAAGACUGUGGAGGUCACGAAGGCGGACAAGACGACGACCCUCGAGCCGAACCCUCUGUACGGGCCCUGGAUCGCCAAAGACCAGCAGGUCCUGUCAUAUCUUCUCAAUUCCAUGUCUCCAGAAAUCCUUGCGCAAGUCGUCGGGAAGGACUCCACCUAUGAGCUCUGGACGACGGUGAACAAUCUCUUCGCCUCGCAAUCACAGUCCCGGAUCACCAAUCUAAGGAUCGCGAUCACCAACACCAAGAAGGGCACAAUGUCGAGCUCGGCGUAUAUGGCGAAGAUGAAGAGCCUUGGGGAUGAACUAGCUGCCGCUGGUCGUCCCGUCUCUGAUCCGGAGAUGGUGGACUACAUACUCGCAGGACUCGACCGCGACUACGACUCCGUGGUGGCGGCGAUCGGUGCUGUCAAGAACACAAUCACCGCCGAUGACCUCUUCGCUCAGAUCUCCGCCUUUGAUCAGAGGAUGGAGAUGCUGGGAGACUCGUCUUCAGGCGGGUUUCAUUCAUCUGCCAACACCAUCUACAGCGGCCGCGGCCAGUCCCGUGGCAGAUCCCGUGGGCGAGGAGGAAGAGGGCGCGGCCGCGGUGACCGCGGUGACCGCCAGCCUUCUCCUGCAAAUAGAGGCGGCGGAUUCAGAGGACGCCCUCGACAGCAACAGCAACAGCAGGUACGCGAGGAGCAGCAUGACUAUCCUGAGUGCCAGAUAUGCUAUAGACAUCAUCCAGGAGGUGCACGUGUCUGCUGGUGGCGCUAUGAAGAGAAUGAUCAAGAAGAGAAGGAGGCGCAUGCUGUCUCCUAUGGCGUGGACACUAAUUGGUACGCAGACAGUCAGCAACAAAUCACAUCACAGGUGAACUUGACAAGCUGACAGUACGGGAGAAAUACAACGGAGGCGACCAAAUUCGCACGGCAAGCGGUUCUGGUAUGAAUAUCACCCACAUUGGUAGUUCAAUUGUUCAAAACCCCAUGAAAAAUUUGCACCUUAAAGAUGUCUUGCAUGUUCCUCAAACUUCCAAAAAUCUUGUUUCUGUUCAUCGAUUCACCCUUGAUAAUAAUGUUCUUAUAGAAUUCUAUCCUUACUUUUUCUUGGUUAAGGAUUUGAGCACAAGGAGAAUCAUUCUUAGAGGACGGUGCGUGGGAGGCCUCUAUCCACUCAUAUCAUCAUCAUCAUCUUCGUGGUCCAAUAAACAAGCAAAUAUUGUCACCAAGCCAUCAUCAUCAAGGUGGCAUAGUCGAUUAGGUCAUCCAUCUUCAGUCAUAGUUAAAUAUGUUCUUAGCAAAAAUAAACUCUCUUAUGAGAAUAGUGUUGAGUCAGUUUGUGAUCCGUGUCAACAAGCAAAAAGUCAUCAAUUACCCUAUCUCAUCUCUACUAGUGUGUCUACUGCUCCUCUACAACUUAUAUUUUCAGAUGUAUGGGGGCCAGCCCCUACUUCAGUUGGGAGAUUUUCUUACUAUGUAAGCUUUAUUGAUGACUAUAGUAAAUUUACUUGGAUUUACUUGUUAAAGAAACGGUCUGAUGUAUUCCAAGUCUUCAUCAAUUUUCAAAACCUUGUUGAACGCAAACUGAACUCCAAGAUCAUUGCUAUGCAAAGUGACUGGGUGGUGAGUAUGAAAAAUUGAACUCUUUCUUCCAAAAACUUGGUAUUUCACAUCAUGUUUCUUGCCCUCAUGCUCACCAACAAAAUGGGUCUGCUGAAAGAAAGCACCGUCACAUAGUUGAUAUGGGGCUAGCAUUGCUAGCAAAUGCAUCCAUGCCACUCAAAUUCUGGGAUGAAGCAUUCUUAACCGCUACAUAUCUUAUCAAUUUGCUUCCUAGUAAAGUCAUCAAAUUUGAAACACCCAUUACACGACUCCUCGGUGUCACACCCAACUACACAUCUCUUCGUGUUUUUGGUUGUGCAUGUUGGCCCAACCUCAGACCCUACAACACACGCAAACUCGCUUUUCGCUCCAAAAAGUGUGUCUUCUUAGGCUAUAGUCCCAUGCAUAAAGGAGUUAAAUGUCUAGAUGUUCCUACUGGUAGGGUCUACAUAUCCAGAGAUGUAGUUUUUGAUGAGUCUGUGUUCCCUUUUGCUUCCCUUCAUCCCAAUGCUGGUGCACUUCUCCGCAAGGAAAUCCUUCUUCUUCCUCCACAUCUUCGGUCUUUUGAUCAUGGGGGCGACAGUUGUACUAACCAAAGUGAUGAUAUUCCUGCUGGUAUUGGUUCUUCUCUGUUGCCUGUGCAGGUCCCUGGUGAAAACGGCGCUCAAAAUGAUCAAAAUUUCGAAAAUCAAGCUCAAGAUCAUCUUAUAUUUCAUGCUGAGGAAGGAGACGAACCUGGCACAGACGACGAAGCUGAUCCAGUGGCGCCCGCAACUCCUGUUCGCGCGCAGACCUCGGAUCCCGCGGCCAAAUCAGCCUCGGAUCGCGCUCCCACCAACCGCAGCGCUGAUUCAGUAGCAGGCGGGACCAGCCGCGGGGUCGGCUGUGGGGCCGAAUCCGCCUCGCCCAGCGCGCGCCACUCCCACGCCGCCACCUCAGCAGCAGGCGGGACCAGCCGUGGGGCCGAAUCUCCCUCGCCCAGCGUGCGCCUACAAUCGCGGUCGGGCGGUCGAUCCGUUGUGCCGGCUCGGGCGGCUGGCACCCGUGUGGCGGACACACAGGCGGCCACACCAACGGCUACAGGAUCCUCUGUGCAGGUGGCGCCAGAUUCGCCUGUGUCAUCACAUGCAGCUUCCUCGGGAUCUUCUGCGGCGAGUGCUCCUGUGGUCCAUCCAGCAGUUCCUUCACGAGUUAUGACUCGAUUACAGAAAGGUAUACGAAAUCUUAAAAUAAGAAAAGAUGGGACUAUACCGUAUGGAAUGUUGUGUAUUUCAGGAGAACCAACAACAUUGAAUAGUGCACUUAAUGAUCCUAAGUGGAAGAAGGCAAUGGAUGAGGAAUAUUCUGCACUUAUGAGGAACAAGACAUGGCAUCUUGUGCCAAAUCAGAAAGGUAAAAAUAUCAUCGAUUGCAAAUGGGUUUACAGAAUUAAAAAAAGGCAGAUGGCUCCAUUGACAGGUACAAAGCACGUCUCGUUGCAAAGGGUUUUAAACAACGUUAUGGUAUUGAUUAUGAGGACACUUUCAGUCCCGUUGUUAAAGCUGCAACUAUCAGACUUGUGCUAGCCAUUGCUGUAUCCAAGGGUUGGAGUCUACGACAGCUAGAUGUACAGAAUGCGUUUUUGCAUGGCAUUCUAGAAGAGGAAGUGUUUAUGAGACAACCACCUGGUUAUGAGGACAAGAAGUCACCACAUUAUGUUUGCAAGCUUGACAAGGCACUCUAUGGUUUAAAACAAGCACCCAGAGCAUGGUACUCCAGAUUGAGCUUACAGUUGAAAUAUCUUGGUUUCAUUGCCUCCAAAGCUGAUACAUCUUUGUUUAUCUAUAACAAGGCUGGAGUAGUCAUUUUUGUGCUUAUAUAUGUUGAUGAUAUCAUAGUUGCAAGUUCUUCACAAAAUGCUACUAAUGCACUUCUGCAUGAUUUGAGCUCAGAGUUUGCCUUGAAAGACCUAGGUGAUUUGCAUUUCUUCCUAGGCAUUGAGGUCAAGAAAACUCAAGAUGGAAUUGUGUUAAAUCAGGAGAAAUAUAUCUCUGAGCUUCUGUCUCGCAUGAGGAUGAAGAAUUGCAAGCCAGUUCCUACACCUUUGUCUUCCUCGGAAAAACUUUCAGCAUAUGAAGGUGUGCCACUUCAGGAGGAGGAAAGUACAAGGUAUAGGAGUACUGUGGGAGCAUUACAAUAUUUAACUCUCACACGUCCAGAUAUCUCAUUUGCUGUCAACAAGGUUUGUCAAUAUCUGCAUGCACCUACUUCUGCACAUUGGUCAGCUGUCAAGAGAAUUGUGAGAUAUGUAAAGCAUACUAUGGGAAUAGGACUCCAUUUCAAACGGUCUAAUUCCUCUCUUGUGAGUGCAUUCUCUGAUGCUGACUGGACAGGAUGCAGUGAUGACAGAAGAUCAACUGGAGGCUUUGCAGUAUUUUUUGGGUCUAACCUUAUUUCUUGGAGUGCUAGAAAGCAAACCACCGUGUCACGGUCAAGCACAGAAGCUGAAUAUAAGUCCUUGGCAAAUGCAACUGCAGAAAUCAUUUGGGUUGAAUCACUUCUUGAGGAAUUGGGAAUCAAGAAGAAUCGUAUCUCAUGUUUAUGGUGUGAUAACUUGGGAGCAACAUAUUUGUCUGCAAAUCCUGUGUUUCAUGCAAGGACAAAGCACAUCGAAAUUGAUUUUCACUUUGUGCGAGAAAGGGUUGCAGCCAAGAAACUUGAGAUACGGUUUAUUCCCUCCAGGGAUCAAGUAGCAGACGGCUUUACAAAGGCAUUGCCAUCAAGACCAUUUGAGGAGUUCAAGAGUAAUCUUAAUCUAGGAUAGUUAAGAUUAAGGGAGGGUGUUAGAGAAUAUGUUUCCGUAGCAUCUCAAACUCCUUUCCUUCUCUAACUCAAACUCCUUGUAAUCUUUCUUGUACUCCAAGCUUGGCUUCGGCCGCAUCAAUAUAAACAGAACCGUGGCUCCCCUCGAGGGAGUAGGGAACGCUCAUUAUCUUUCAUAGCAAAACCAAAUCGCAGACCAGAAAGAGCAGACGCGGGCAGAUUUCGCACCUGUUGAACGGCUCCAUCAAGAACUCCAUGCGCGCCGGAGCAGAGAUUCUCGAACCCUAGAACUGCUGCUAUCACCACCGAGCCGCCCCGAUAGAACCCGACCGACAGGUGCGAGAGGAAGGAGCCACCAUAU